AGAUUCUCAUGUUCUAUGCUUCCAGUUCUCCUGCACAAGUCAUUAAGUAAACAAGAUAAACUACAGAAAGCUGUACAGCAUAUACUGUCUCUUCUGGAAGAGAUGAAAACUGACGUGAAAGACUUGAAAAAUAGGCUUGCGCAGAUGGAGUGCCAAACCCAAGAAAAGGAGCUGACAUCUGACACAAGGGUUACAGUUUCCCUUAAAAUCUUCAGAGGUGUAGAAUGUCUCAAGUUGGAUUUAAAGACAGAUCCAGGAAAACGUGCACGCUUGGAAUGCUAUUUGGCGAUGAGGGGAGGCUUUAGCUUAAAGCUCGUAGUCAGGGGUAUACUGUCUGUGCUAUUUUCAACAGAAUUAGCCCGGUGUUACAACUAUAAUGGCCUGAAGGGAAAGAAGGGACUGAAGAACCACCCCUUUAUUUUAAGAACAGUUCAGGGAAUGCUAUUUGGCAAUGCGUGGGGGAUUCACUUUAAAGCAUAUCGUCAGGGACAAACGGUCUCUGCUAUUUUCAAAUAAAUUAGCCAGGUCUUACAACUUCCAUGGUCUGAAGGGAAAGAAGGGACUCACGAACCACCCCUUUCUUUUAGAAACAGUUCAGGAUGCUGCACGAAAAACUUGCCCUCAAGCUACUGAAGCAGAACUGCAGACGCAGAUCUCUAGCUGGUUAGCUGGUGCUAGGGAUUGAGAGAAUGGCAGAAGGGAAAGGGCACCUGAGCACAGAUAAAUAGUUCUGGGGUGGGGAACGAAUUGGAGGACAAGUAAAGCUGUACAAUUUUUGCAUAUUUAAAAUUAGUUUUUUAAUUAACAAUUUCAAUAAACAUCAGAAAACGA
This 831-nucleotide unclassified non-coding RNA is filed under the name Pomacea canaliculata. RNAcentral's name for it is "uncharacterized LOC112566299, transcript variant X1". The record is from RNAcentral. Lineage: Eukaryota; Metazoa; Mollusca; Gastropoda; Architaenioglossa; Ampullariidae.